This 253-nucleotide ribosomal RNA is filed under the name uncultured bacterium. RNAcentral's name for it is "partial 16S ribosomal RNA". It matches the Rfam family "Bacterial small subunit ribosomal RNA", at positions 524 to 776 of the family's 1533-position model. The record is from RNAcentral.
UACGUAGGUGGCAAGCGUUGUUCGGAAUUAUUGGGCGUAAAGGGCGCGUAGGCGGUUUGUUAAGUCGGCUGUGAAAGCCCGGGGCUCAACCCCGGAGGGUCAGCCGAUACUGGCAGACUAGAGUACGGAAGAGGUAGCUGGAAUUCCCGGUGUAGCGGUGAAAUGCGUAGAUAUCAAGAGGAACACCUGCGGCGAAGGCGGGUUGCUGGGCCGACACUGACGCUGAGGCGCAAAAGCUAGGGGAGCGAACGGG